Molecule: long non-coding RNA, 317 nt
Organism: Candoia aspera
Lineage: Eukaryota; Metazoa; Chordata; Lepidosauria; Squamata; Candoiidae
Exons: 2
Source: RefSeq, a predicted model, not a curated record
UGAGCCUUCCUCAGUUUUUCUGUACAAGGCAGCAGUCAGUGAUGAAGCUGGUCAAACUGUCAAUGAUUACUCCAGAGCAGACAGACAUGUGAGAAAAGUCAACAAGUACACCAGUGCUUAACUGAGCAACACUUCAGACUUUCUGCAGAACAAGAAUGUGUUGUUUCCAGGACAACAGAUUUUAGUGACAAUCUCAUUAUAGAGGCAAAGCAUAACAGAAAACCAUUCAGUUGAAUCAAAUAUAUUUCUUCUGUGAACAGAUUUAAUUGAAUCAAAAUCUCAUCUUAAAAUGUCAACAAUAAACAUAUUCAGGCUAA